AAAACAAGAAACUUCUUGUAUUAUGGUUUCGGCCCAUAACUAGGUGCAGUGCACCCUUGUUUUG
This 64-nucleotide transfer RNA is filed under the name Elliptio icterina. RNAcentral describes it as "tRNA-Arg". Lineage: Eukaryota; Metazoa; Mollusca; Bivalvia; Unionida; Unionidae. The record is from RNAcentral.